AUGAACGCUGGCGGUGUGUCUAAGGCAUGCAAGUCGAACGGAUCAUAUGGGUGCUUGCAUUCGUAUGAUCAGUGGCAAACGGGAGAGUAACACAUUGGUAACCUACCUCGAAGACCGGGAUAACCAACCGAAAGGUUGGCUAAUACCGGAUGUGCUCGUCCCGCAAAAGCGGGACGCGUAAAGCCGAAAGGCACUUCGAGAGGGGCCUAUGCUCUAUCAGCUCGUUGGCGGGGUAAUGGCCCACCAAGGCUACGACGGAUACCGGGUGUGAGAGCAUGACCCGGCUCAUUGGAACUGAGAUACUGUCCAAACACCUACGGGUGGCUGCAGUCAAGAAUAUUCCACAAUGGGGGAAACCCUGAUGGAGCGACACCGCGUGCAGGAAGAAGGCCCUAGGGUCGUAAACUGCUUUUAUUUGGGACGAAGCUUCGGCUGACGGUACCAAAUGAAUAAGAGGUUGCUAACUCUGUGCCAGCAGCAGCGGUAAUACAGAGACCUCAAGCGUUAUCCGGAUUUACUGGGCGUAAAGGGUUCGUAGGCCGUUCUCUCAGUCUCACGUUAAAUCUCCGGGCUCAACCCUGAGGCUGCGUGGGAUACUGGAGGACUAGAGAGUGGGAGAGGUAUGCGGAAUUGCCGGUGUAGUAGUAAAAUGCGUUAAUAUCGGCAAGAACACCAAAGGCGAAGGCAGCAUACUGGAACAUUUCUGACGCUGAUGAACGAAAGCGUGGGGAGCGAAGCGGAUUAGAUACCCGCGUAGUCCAUGCCCUAAACGAUGAAUGCUGGAUUUUGGGAGUAUCGACCCUCCCAGAGUCGUCCAAAAAAGCUAACGCGAUAAGCAUUCCGCCUGGGGAGUACGGUCGCAAGACUAAAACUCAAAGGAAUAGACGGGGACCCGCAAAAGCGGUGGAACAUGUGGUUUAAUUCGAUGUUAAGCGUGGAACCUCACCAAGGUUUGACAUCUAGCUGCACGUCCUCAGAAACGAGGAUUCCUUCGAGGGUGCUAGACAGGUGCUGCAUGGUUGUCGUCAGCUCGUGCUGUGAAGUGUACCCUUAAGUGGGGUAACGAGCGCAACCCCUGUGUCGUGUUACAGUGUCACGACAGACUGCCUCGGCCAACGGGGAGGAAGGUGGGGAUGACGUCAAAUCAGCAUGGCUCUUACACCUUGGGCUACACACGUGUUACAAUGGGUUGUACAAUGGGCCGCCAAGUCGCAAGACGGAGCAAAUCCCAACAAAGCAACCCCCAAUUCGGAUUGAGGUCUGCAAUUCGACCUCAUGAAGCCGGAAUCGCUAGUAAACGCGUAUCAGACACGGCGCGUUGAAUACGUUCUCGGGUCUUGUACUCACCG
RNAcentral lists this ribosomal RNA (1349 nucleotides) under uncultured bacterium. Its description in RNAcentral is "bacterial SSU rRNA". It matches the Rfam family "Bacterial small subunit ribosomal RNA", at positions 29 to 1392 of the family's 1533-position model. The record is from RNAcentral.